AUAAAUCUUUUUUUGAUUUUGUUAGUAGUUGCGAAAUUAAAAGUUGAUUUAUCGAUGAGUUGUAAGGAAUGUUUGUGUAGUUUGACUAUGUAUUUGUGAUGAUCGAGACCAAUGGGUUAUUCGAUAAUAUCGAUUUUCAUAGUGAAAUAUUUCAUUUAUUUAUUUCUUCGUGUAGUUCUAUUCAUUAAUAAGCUAUCCCAACUUAUUGAUGAAAAAUGCAUAAUACUCGCUGAAGUGUUAACUCAGUAGAAAAUAAUUAACUUAGCUAUUCUGAAUAGAAGGUAAUUAUUUUCAAUAUGCAAGCUAUCAAAACAUUGUUAUGCAAUGUAAUUUUUCAUAAUUAAUAACAUCCCCAAAAAAUUGAAAAAUAACUGUAAAUCAUUCCCUUAAUUAAAAGUCGUGAGUCUCUCCCAAGCUCACGACUUU
Non-coding RNA from Staphylococcus sp. HMSC078E07, 426 nucleotides. The record is from Rfam. NCBI's taxonomy places the organism in Bacteria, Bacillati, Bacillota, Bacilli, Caryophanales, Staphylococcaceae.